UUAAUUGGAAGCGGUGUUUUGUGGGUAAAUUGGUCAAUUUCUGAAGAGAACUAUUUGCUUAUAGCCAACGUUUCGAAUUAUAUUUAAUUGAUCUUCAGAGCUCUACAAUAGAUAAAAAUAAAGGAUCGUUUACGCAAGAGAAUUGACUAGAAACAAAGAGUUUUCUUCAGAAAUUGAUCAAUUUACCCACAAAACACUACUUUGAAUUCAGAAACUUCCAUUAAACUGUCAUUGCUGUCAAUGUCAAAUGUAAAAUCCUAACCUAAGUCUUUCGUUUUUUUUUGUAACAGAUUUUUUCCGGACUUUUAAAUUGUUUUACAUUAAUAUUUCCUUUGAUGUUAUUUAACAACUUUUAGGCAAAAAUAGAGCGUUUGCGGUGCUAACGAGGCUCCCAAGCAGCAUAAAACACAUGUAAAUUAAGGAAAUCCCCUCUCUUGGAUCUUGAAUCUAACGAACUGCUAUAAAACCACCAUAUGUGCCUUUACCUGUAUCUUUUCUUGAAGGAUUUUAAGAUAAAGUGGCUUAAUCCCAAUUUAAUCACUCUUUCUAUUUAGUAAGCAAGAUGGGUUGGGUUAGACCAGGGACUGGUAUAUUUUAAUCCUCAACCCUAAUAGUCUCACAACCCUAUUUGGAAUUCUAAUUAGGUAAAACUAGUUAAUCUUAUAAUAAGGUUUAAAGGCAAACGCAUUGAAAUUUGAAAGUACUCAUUAAGGAUAUUUUGGUGGGAAAUAUAAGUUUUAUAUGGUGAAUAUUGGUAAAAAUUCGGAUGUUUCUAUGAACCGUAUUGCUUGGAAGAAAUAUGGAAUUUAUAUGGAGAAGGUUUAGUGCAAUGACACUAAAAUAAAAUAAUAUUGGUGCACAGUUAAGAAAAAUACCGGGUUACUUCAAAUUUUAUAGAAACUGAAGCUGUUAUGGAGUCAUUAUCUUUAGAAUCACGAUAAUAAUAGAAUCACGAGAGCAAUGUGAUUUUGUAUGAAAAUUAUUCUAAAUAUUAAAUACUACAAGGACAAGGUAUAAUGAAAAUAGCAACGAGUGACAUCAAACCAUCGUCCUGUUGACUGGUACUGAAAGCAGUAACCAUUUUGAUUUCACUGCUACUUCCUCGGAAAUUGUAGAAUUAGCGAAGGCGACUGAUGGCCUUUAUACCUUAAACAAUAUGACACUUUCAUGCAAUGGCGAAAAUUGAAAAGAGCUAAUUCGUUCUCCGAAAAUGUGAUUCUUGCCUAUUUUAGUCAGUUAGCUAAGUGUAAUAAAGCUUCAACACUAUGGAAAGUGUACUCAAUGAUUAGAACAACAAUUAACAAUAAACACAAUACAGAUAUAUUAAAAUAUGCCAGGCUACGAGCAUUUUUGAAAAAACAAAUCUGAUGGUUAUCAAGGAAAAAAAUCAAAGAUAUUAACUGGAGAAGAAGUCAACCAUUUUAUAAAUAAUUCUCCAGAUCAUAUUUAUAUUGCUACAAAGGUUGCUGUGAUAUUAGGAAUUAUGGGAGCUUGUCGAAGACAGGAGCUCUACUUAAUGAAAGUUCAGGAUAUUGAGAACUUGGGGUCCGCUAUAAUAAUAAAUGUUCCUGAUACAAAAACUAAUGUGCCUAGACAAUUUACAAUCACUGGAAAGUUUUAUACCUUAUUUAAAAAAUAUUAUCACUACGGCCACCAGAUAUUGCGAUAAAUAGUAUCUUCACUAACUUUCAAAAUGGACGCUGCACCAAGCAAGUGAUUGGAAUAAACAAACUAGGAAAUUUUCGAAUCAUUAUUUUCGAAGAACAUCUCCAACAAUGCUUGUGGAUUCUGGGGCAAAUAUAGAAACAUUAAAAAGACACGAAGGGUGGAAAUCUACAGAAAUUGCUGAAGGAUAUGUAGAUAACUCAUUACGAAACUGCCUAAAUGUUUCAAGUCAAAUAAUGUCCCAAAUUAAUGAAAAUGCGGAACCAGCACUCAAAAAACCCAAAUUUCAGCAAAAAAAACUGUAGGAACUUCAAGUAGAGCUUCCUUGUGCAAGUACUAACUCCCAACAGCAAAACAUAUUUGCCUCAUUAACGACUAAAAACAUAUCGGAUUCCCCUAAAAAUAUUACAAUUCAAAAUUCUACUGGAAUUACAAUAAAUAUAGAUAACAAAAAUCUUUAAAAAGUUUUUUGAUAGUUUUUGUUUGUUCAAGAAUGAUAAAUAAAAAAAAAUUUUUUUUUAUCGAGUAAUAUAAAUUUAAUUUAAAUUUUUAA
Long non-coding RNA from Anthonomus grandis grandis, 2218 nucleotides. RefSeq lists it as uncharacterized. The transcript has 5 exons. NCBI's taxonomy places the organism in Eukaryota, Metazoa, Arthropoda, Insecta, Coleoptera, Curculionidae. The record is from RefSeq and is a predicted model, not a curated record.